UGGGGGAUAUUGCACAAUGGGCGAAAGCCUGAUGCAGCGACGCCGCGUGGGGGAUGAAGGCUUUCGGGUUGUAAACCUCUUUCGCUAUCGAACAAGGCCCGCUUAGGGUGGGUUGAGGGUAGGUGGAGAAGAAGCGCCGGCUAACUACGUGCCAGCAGCCGCGGUAAUACGUAGGGCGCGAGCGUUGUCCGGAAUUAUUGGGCGUAAAGGGCUUGUAGGCGGCUUGUUGCGCCUGCUGUGAAAACGCGGGGCUUAACUUCGCGCGUGCAGUGGGUACGGGCAGGCUUGAGUGUGGUAGGGGUGACUGGAAUUCCAGGUGUAGCGGUGGAAUGCGCAGAUAUCUAGAGGAACACCGAUGGCGAAGGCAGGUCACUGGGCCAUUACUGACGCUGAGGAGCGAAAGCAUGGGUAGCGAACAGG
This 420-nucleotide ribosomal RNA is filed under the name bacterium. RNAcentral's name for it is "partial 16S ribosomal RNA". It matches the Rfam family "Bacterial small subunit ribosomal RNA", at positions 355 to 776 of the family's 1533-position model. The record is from RNAcentral.